Molecule: long non-coding RNA, 3694 nt
Organism: Hipposideros armiger (great roundleaf bat)
Lineage: Eukaryota; Metazoa; Chordata; Mammalia; Chiroptera; Hipposideridae
Exons: 3
Source: RefSeq, a predicted model, not a curated record
UUUGGCAGAAAUUGCGGUACCAGAAGUGAUGUGUGACACAGAGCAUUGUCAUGGUGGAGGAUGAAACCAUUUGCUCAUUUCUCAGGCCGUUUUCUACUCACAUCGUUUUUUAAACACUCUAAUAAGCCCUUAUAAAAUUUAGAGUUCACCAUUGUGUUCCUGGGUACAAACUCAGCUCGCUCAAUUCCAUCAAGGUUAAACAACGCAAUUAACGUCUUGAUAUUAUGAGUAGCACCAUUCACCAUAUUUUUUUUAUCAUACCUUGAUACAUAUAUAUAAUACACUUGAAAUAUUUGACUUUGUUAAUUGCUGUUUAAUUGUUUAAUUUAAAAAAUAUUAAUGGAAACUUAUUUACUUGGUUGUUUAUGGUGAAACAAGGGUGAACUUUCCCAACUGUCUAGCCUUCUACCAGGUAUGUACCUAUGUAUUCAGUUCUACACCCACUCCCUUUUAAAGACCUUUCAAAGAUCCAGCUUUUUUUUUUUUUGCAAGGGAGAGGCAUAUGGUAGACAUAUGCCUCUGAGUUAAUAUCCAGUAGCCAUUCUCAUUUCUUAGUAAGAGAAGACUUAUUUUGGGAGGAGGGAGGGUGAAAGGUGGGUAAUGCAGCCACCUAAAAUGCUACACAUCUCUGAGUCUUCUUGCAGCUACGUGUGUCCAUGUGGGAAAGUCCUAGCUAGUGCGAUUUAUUCAGAAAUGUUGUAUGGGACUUUAAAUAAAGUUGUUGAGUCAGCUGUGAGGUGUGGAUUUUGCAGCAUUUCUCUUGUCAGAAAUCAAAUGUGAUAGUUGAAAGUCCAGCCACCAUCUUGGAACAAGAGGUGACUUUGAAGAUGGAAGCCAGGCUAGAAUAAUGCAGCAGCAAUACGCCCGAGGUCUUUAUGAUCACAAUGCAGCUAUCCCAGCCCUAGACUGCUCUCCUCUAGGCUAUUAUAUGACAGAGAAAUAAAUUUCUCUCUCCCUUAAGCUACUGAUACUUAAGCUUUUCUAUUAUAGAUAGCUGUAUGGAAUCUUCAUAGAUCUAGGGGAACUGUAUUUCUGUGCUCCCAGAAGUGGGUCUCCAUCUGGGACAGUUUAAACGAGAGUUCAGCAAAGACUUAAGGGCAGGGAGCAUGUGAAUGGAUGGGUCUCUUGUUGAAUGAGCAAUGGUCAAAGUGCAGUCAACAGUGAGGGUGUUGUUGCUUCUCUGCCAGGGACAAGAUGAUGAGCUCAUAGGAAUAGUGAGCGAUGGUCACCAGGUGCUGGCUGGCUUCUGGAUGUAAGCAUUCGUCCUCUUGAAAGGAUUAUAAACUCUGUUCUAUUUCCCUCAAUGCUUCUAUUCUUAAAAGCUAGGGAGUCAAAAAUAAUAUUAUAAAUAGUUUCUUUCUCUUUAAUUCCUGUUCUAACUAUCUUCAUUCUCUGGUCAAUAUGAUUGCUUCUGACUGAUGGGUGGGAAGGUCAGGAAGUAGGGGAGAGGAAGACACAAGGAUUAAUAUUUAUGAUAUUAUCUCACUAUAAGUACCUGCCACCAGGGAGCUUUCUAACAUUGUGGUAAUAUGGAAAAAAAAUUGCACAAGUAAAUCACAAUCAGUGUAGUUUCUGUUCAUUUUUUUUAAUGCUAACAAAAGGAAAAUAUCCAUCAAAUCUCCUAAAUAUUAUAUUGAGCAUACCUAUUUUAAGAGAACAUUCUUAAAAGGAGAAACUAUGGUACAGUAGCUCUUGUCAAAGUUAGUAGGUCAUUAUCAACAUUUAGUAGAUCAUUUUAUAAAGGACAGCCAGCUAUUUGAGUAUAAAGCUUUGCCUGUUUACCAUCCUCUUGGAAGCUACUUGUAAUCACACUGCUUCCUAUACUUUUGGUGGCAUUCCAAGUGAAUAAAAGUAUUGUUUUCCCUAAGGAGUUCAUUGUAGAAUUCUUAAUUUCUUUCUUACAGGGUUUGCAGCUGGAGAUGUCUUAUAGCAAACUCUUUACACUGAGAAUGUUGCAAGAGCCAACAGUGCAGCGUGUCCAUGAGAUGGUGGGGAGGUCACAACUGCUCUAGUUAUUUCAUUCUUCCAGUCCUGAUAAGAGCUUGAGUGGAACUGGGUGUCCGGAAAUUCUCUUUCCUACUCUGGGUGUCAAGCCUUCAGCAGAGGCUCGUCUGCAGCCAGGGUUUGUACCUGGAGAGGGCUCACUCGCUCCACUAGCUGCUGCCCAUUAGCGCAGAAUCCUCAUGUCACCUGUCCUUCCUUCCAUCAAAAACCCAGCGGGUGUGUAGAAGAGCCAAACGUGAAAUAGCAAGAACUGAGCUCACCUUCUGCAAGCAGGAUUCAGAACUGAACGGGCUAUUAAAAUGAAAGAGCAUGAACAGUGCAACUCUGGGUAACCAGGGAAUAAUGCCUGCCUAGAAACUGUAUGUGUGUGAGCAAGACUUAUUUUUAUCUUCCUGCUAUUGAAAAGCAAUAUGAAAUUGCCAUACGCAUUGAUCUAUGAGGAUGUAGAAUCCAUACAUUGUAUACAAGGCAGUCAUUUGGUGUUGCCUAGGUACCGAUGUGGACGUUUGUAUAAGUACACACAUGUAUACAAGCAGUGAAUUAUUUUCAUUAACCUUCAAAUAAUUUCGUUAUAGGGAGAGAAUAUCCGUGAUCUAGCAGGCUUACUGAUAAUGCUUCCUUAAUGUGUUCUGGCGAAUGAAGCAUUUAGGAGUCAAUCUUUAUAAUGAUAGCCUGCUUCUGGCUACAUGCCCAUUCACAGAGUUAGAAUUUAUAGCAAAUGCUUUUUCUUUUAAAAUAUUUAGGUGUUCAAUUAAAGUUUGUUGAUAUCACCAUGCUAAGUAUUCUUUCUGAAAAUUUUAUUGAACUAUAUAGUCUGAAUUAUUUAAAAUGUUAUUCUUUGAGCUGUGUUAACAUCGCCUUAGCUAGUCACAUCCUUUUUCUUUUUCUUUUUUCAUCCAUUUUUAACUUGUUGUUUUUAAAUAUUACUUCUUAAACUUUUUAUCUUUGAGCACAUUGAAUCCUGCUUUAUUUGUUUUCCUCUGGUUUUUCUGGAGGGAGCUGGCUUAUUGUUAGUUUUUGGUAUGUUGUUGAUGAUGGCAGCAAGGGAGUCUGGGUACAGGGUGACAGUGGCAGAAAGUGCCCACACCUUGGAGGGGGGACGAGAUUGAAACUAUCCACUUCCCCAAAUGGGCCUCCUUUUUUGUCUUCUUUCAUUUCGCACUCCCUUAGUGUAGGUUCUCCACACAAUCUCAGCCCGGGUGAUUUAAGAAUCCCAUAGACUAGGAAGGUUUUUCAAGGCAAAAGUAUCUCAUUUGUUCAAACAGCACACUUGAAUUCCCAUGGCCUUAGGCAGCCUUCAGUUUACAACUCACAAAACAGCAACUAUUUAUUGAACAGCGAUUGUGUGCUGACUGUGUGCCAUAUAUUUGCUGUAAACUAGAUAUCCAGAACUCAGAAAGCCUUUACCCAAAAACAUUGCCAUUCUUACAUCUACGUUCCUAAGUGAGUCAGCAAAAGCCCAGGGAAUGUGGGCCAGCUUAACAACUGUUUAAUUAAUCCUUCCCCUCCCUUCUUUUAUUUAAAAGCAAACAAACAAAAAGUCCUGGCAUACUGAAUCUCUUUCUGUAUACAGUUACAGAUACAGACACCAAUGCCUUUUAGUAUGUAUUUUGUUUUUAGUGAAGCUGAACAAAUUAAUGAGCAUCUCCCUAAAAUGGCCUAAAUGGGAGAUCAUCAAAAGAUUCCAGAA